AUAAACUGCUGUGAACCUGAAGAUGUAUGGCCAGCGAACAAUUGAAUGCUUGUCAAAUGGAAAAUGGGAUCAGUUCUUUCCAAAAUGUGGAGAUGUCACAUGUCCUCUGAACACAACAGAAAACAACAUCAGAAUAGAGCGAUUUCCUGAUAUUGAGGGUCCUGUCAAACCUGGACAUUAUUUAAUAUUUUCAUGCAAUGGACAAGGACUUAUUUUAAAAGGACAGCGAGAAAUCACUGGCCAGAAAAAUGGAGAAUGAAGCAGUCCAUUUCCAAAAUGUGAAAAGAGAACUGAAUGUGGGCCACCACCACUCCAGCAAAAUGCAGACACAGUAGAAAUGCCAAAAAAAAAGAAUAUAGUUAUGAAAAUAAAGUAAAAUACAUGUGCUAUAAUAAAUUCACAAUGGAAGGCUACUUGACCUGUGUGCAAGGUGAAUGGAGAGGAUACUUUACGUGUUUGAAGCCGUGUUUGGUGACAGUGGAAGAAAUUAAUAAAAGGGGUAUAGAGUUGAAGUGGAGUGAACAGUAAAAAAUAUUCUCACCACACAUGGAUGCAGUCUCUUUGCAUGUCAGACAGGCAAAUAUAUAAAAGAUGAAACUGCCUUAAGACAAACAUGUAUAAAUGGAGUGAUGCAUCUACCUCGGUGUGCAUAAAAUCAACACUUCAUUAACAACACAAUGUACAAGUUUUUAUUUUACAAAAUAAAAAUCCUAAAGCAUUGAUGAAAUAAGUACACUACAUGUGUCUGUUGUUGGUUGGUUUCAUGCAUUUUGUAGACCCUCCACAAUAACUUGUAAAUUCGUCCUUAAAUUCCAAAAAUGGAAAUUAUGUCAAUGAGUGUUUUAAUGUGAUGUAAUAAACAUUUUAAAAUGUUUGACUCUCGGGUGUAAAUUCAG
Molecule: long non-coding RNA, 896 nt
Organism: Carassius carassius (crucian carp)
Lineage: Eukaryota; Metazoa; Chordata; Actinopteri; Cypriniformes; Cyprinidae
Exons: 4
Source: RefSeq, a predicted model, not a curated record